This 218-nucleotide long non-coding RNA is filed under the name Gossypium barbadense (sea-island cotton). RNAcentral's name for it is "long non-coding RNA (GBAR_LNC003876)". Lineage: Eukaryota; Viridiplantae; Streptophyta; Magnoliopsida; Malvales; Malvaceae. The record is from RNAcentral.
CCGUUUGUUCAAAAUAAUCGAAUAUCCCUUUAGAAUUUCACUCACGUCUUUAAAAACUAUUUAAAGCAAAGGCAAUAUUCGAUGUUUGGAAAUUCGGGGAAUAGUGCCCUAUCGUGCUGGGUUUUGAUUUCACGUUUGUUCAAAAUAAUCAAAUAUUCCUUUGGAAUUUCACUCGUGUUUUCUAAGGCGAGGCAAUGUUCAAUGUUUGGAAAUUCGAG